GUCGAACGGAGCCUUAACCAAAGAAGCAGCCAGCUUGCUGGAAGCGGAAAAGGGAAAGGCUUAGUGGCGGACGGGUGAGUAACGCGUGGGUAACCUGGCCCAUACAGGGGGAUAACACUUAGAAAUAGGUGCUAAUACCGCAUAACAACAGAAAGCGCAUGCUUUUUGUUUGAAAACCAAGGUGGUAUGGGAUGGACCCGCGUCUGAUUAGCUGGUUGGCGGGGUAAAGGCCCACCAAGGCGACGAUCAGUAGCCGGCCUGAGAGGGUGGACGGCCACAUUGGGACUGAGACACGGCCCAAACUCCUACGGGAGGCAGCAGUGGGGAAUAUUGCACAAUGGGGGAAACCCUGAUGCAGCGACGCCGCGUGAGUGAAGAAGUAAUUCGUUAUGUAAAGCUCUAUCAGCAGGGAAGAAAAUGACGGUACCUGAGUAAGAAGCCCCGGCUAACUACGUGCCAGCAGCCGCGGUAAUACGUAGGGGGCAAGCGUUAUCCGGAUUUACUGGGUGUAAAGGGAGCGUAGACGGCAGUGCAAGUCUGGAGUGAAAGGCGGGGGCUCAACCCCCGGACUGCUCUGGAAACUGUACGGCUGGAGUGCAGGAGAGGUAAGUGGAAUUCCUAGUGUAGCGGUGAAAUGCGUAGAUAUUAGGAGGAACACCAGUGGCGAAGGCGGCUUACUGGACUGUAACUGACGUUGAGGCUCGAAAGCGUGGGGAGCAAACAGGAUUAGAUACCCUGGUAGUCCACGCCGUAAACGAUGAUCACUAGGUGUCGG
Molecule: ribosomal RNA, 775 nt
Filed under: uncultured bacterium
Lineage: Bacteria
Description: bacterial SSU rRNA
Rfam family: Bacterial small subunit ribosomal RNA
Source: RNAcentral